CCAAUAUUGUAAAAAAAACCUAUUUCCAUGUCUUUUUUAUUGUAAAGCAGGUCGAGGUACUUUAUAAAUAUUGUGAAAAUAUCAAAACGGUCAAUCCACAGAGAAAUGCACAGACCAUGAUUC
Long non-coding RNA from Sander lucioperca (pikeperch), 123 nucleotides. RefSeq lists it as uncharacterized. The transcript is spliced from 3 exons. The record is from RefSeq and is a predicted model, not a curated record. NCBI's taxonomy places the organism in Eukaryota, Metazoa, Chordata, Actinopteri, Perciformes, Percidae.